This 1506-nucleotide ribosomal RNA is filed under the name uncultured organism. RNAcentral describes it as "bacterial SSU rRNA". It matches the Rfam family "Bacterial small subunit ribosomal RNA". The record is from RNAcentral.
AGAGUUUGAUCCUGGCUCAGGACGAACGCUGGCGGCGCGCUUAACACAUGCGAGUUGAACGUUCCUCCUUAACUCACAGUCUUUGACUGUAGUUAAGGCAGUAAGUGGCGAACGGGUGAGUAACGCGUAGGUAACCUGCCCGGGAGUCAGGGACAACCUUUCGAAAGAAGGGCUAAUCUCUGAUAUCUUUAUUCGGUUCAGGCCGGAUAAAAAAAGGGUGUAUUUACAUCUGCUCCCGGAGGGGCCUGCGUUCCAUUAGCCUGCUGGUGAGAUAAUAGCUCACCAGGGCGACAAUGGAUAGCCGGUCUAAGAGGACGAUCGGCCACACUGGGACUGAGACACGGCCCAGACUCCUACGGGAGGCAGCAGUGUGGAAUCUUCCGCAAUGGGUGAAAAUCUGACGGAGCGACGCCGCGUGAGUGAAGACGGCCGAUAUGGUUGUAAAGCUCUGUCCCUGGUGAAGAAAUCACUAUAGACUAAUAGUCUAUAGUGUUGACGGUAAUCAGGGUAGGAAGCCCUGGCCAACUACGUGCCAGCAGCCGCGGUAACACGUAGAGGGCAAGCGUUGUCCGGAAUCACUGGGCGUAAAGGGCACGCAGGCGGUAAAGCAAGUCAUAUAUGAAAACUAAGGGCUUAACCCUUAGCUUGUAUAUGAAACUGUUUUACUUGAGGGUAGGAGAAGAGAACGGAAUUCCUGGAGUAGCGGUGGAAUGCGUAGAUAUCAGGGAGAACGCCAGUGGCGAAAGCGGUUCUCUAUCCUGACCCUGACGCUGAGGUGCGAAAGCCAGGAUAGCUAACGGGAUUAGAUACCCCGGUAGUCCUGGCCGUAAACAAUGGGCACUGAGUGUUGGAGGUGGAAAUCCUUCAGUGCUGCAGUUAACGCGUUAAGUGCCCCGCCUGGGGAUUACGGUCGCAAGACUGAAACUCAAAGGAAUUGACGGGGGCCCGCACAAGCGGUGGAGCAUGUGGUUUAAUUCGAUGCAACGCGAACAACCUUACCGAGGCUUGACCUAUCCGUGACUACCUGUGAAAGCAGGGUCUGGUGUUCAGCCACACGGUAGCAGGUGAUGCAUGGCUGUCGUCAGCUCGUGUCGUGAGAUGUUGGGUUAAGUCCCGCAACGAGCGCAACCCUUGUACCUAGUUGCCAGCAAGUGAGGUUGGGGACUCUAGGUAGACUGCCGGUGAAAACCGGAGGAAGGUGGGGAUGACGUCAAGUCCUUAUGUCCUUUAUGCCUCGGGCUACACACGUGCUACAAUGGCCGAGACAGAGGGUAAGCAAAGCCAUGAGGCUGAGCUAAUCCUGAAAAUCGGUCUUAGUUCGGAUUGCAGGCUGCAACCCGCCUGCAUGAAGCUGGAAUCGCUAGUAAUCGCGGAUCACCAUGUCGCGGUGAAUACGUUCCCGGGCCUUGUACACACCGCCCGUCACACCAACCGAGUCGGCUGCACCAGAAGACGUCUACGGGCGUUGACGGUGUGUCCGGUGAGGGGGGUGAAGUCGUAACAAGG